Brassica oleracea var. oleracea is the source of this 1069-nucleotide long non-coding RNA. RefSeq lists it as uncharacterized. The record is from RefSeq and is a predicted model, not a curated record. The transcript is spliced from 3 exons. Lineage: Eukaryota; Viridiplantae; Streptophyta; Magnoliopsida; Brassicales; Brassicaceae.
CUCAUAUAGCAAUGGUAUCGACUAAUGGUAAUGGAACUACUCUCUUGAGAGCUGUCAAGCCAUUCAAAACCGGAUGGAAGGUUGAAAUCAAAGCACUGCACUCAUGGACUCAACACUCAUCGUAUGGUGGUGGAGACACUCCUGAAUUCAUUCUCGCAGAUGCAACGGGCGAUAAGAUACACUGCACAUGUAAGCGAGUCUUCACUCCCCGUGCCAAGAAACACAUGCAGAUUGGUCAGUGGUGUUUCAUCGAGAAUUUCGCUUUAACCCCAGCAACCGGAAAGUAUAGAGCGACGAGUCACAAAUACAAGCUUUCCAUCAUAGGCAGCUCCGUAGUGACCAGUUCAUCCCUGAAAAAUGAUGAUAGUUUUCUAUCGUUAACCUCUUACGAAUCAAUCAUUAAUGGAAGUCUUGAUUCCAAUUUUCUGAUUGGUCAGUGUAUUUUUUAAACGUUUAAUACCGUGAUUUAACGUUGGUUAAAUUACGGGUACCGGAAGUCUCAAACAACAAGCUCACAUCAGUUGAUGAUAUUCAGAUACUUACAAAGUACUUAACAUCGUGUAAAGUUUCGAUUUUUCGAUCUGGGUUUCUUUAGUUUGAUUAAUAAUUUGAAGUUCUCAGUAUAGUAGUUUUAACUUUAUAUUAGGAUAUUGUUUGCCUUCCAUUUUUCAACGAAAGUUGACUUAGGAUUUUUAGUGAUCUAUUGCAGGAUUCAGCAGAGGCAGAGGCAACAGCUUAGAGCUUCUAUAAUGGCUGAGAAAGUGGAAGAGUCUUUGUGCCUCGAGAUGAAACUCAGAGAAAUAGCAUGAUAAUCUCCUUUUCAACAACCAUCAUGAGUUCGUUCAAAGCCUAGAAUUUCUCCAGUGUUCAAUAUCUAACAAGGAAGACAAUUAGAUUCUUUAAAAAUAUGAUUGGGUAGAUGGCUGUAGAGUGUACAUGUAAUGCCUACCUUAUUGAAUAUAUGUAACAGGUACUACUCAAUGUACGGACGUGUGGAGAAAUGCGAUUGAGUUUGGAUUUGAACUGGAGAUCCAUUCAUCCAUUGUUAACAAGUGUGGUGAACUGUAAC